This 253-nucleotide ribosomal RNA is filed under the name uncultured bacterium. RNAcentral's name for it is "partial 16S ribosomal RNA". It matches the Rfam family "Bacterial small subunit ribosomal RNA", at positions 524 to 776 of the family's 1533-position model. The record is from RNAcentral.
UACGGAGGGGGCUAGCGUUGUUCGGAAUUACUGGGCGUAAAGCGUACGUAGGCGGCUUUGUAAGUUAGAGGUGAAAGCCCGGGGCUCAACUCCGGAAUUGCCUUUAAGACUGCAUCGCUUGAAUCAUGGAGAGGUGAGUGGAAUUCCGAGUGUAGAGGUGAAAUUCGUAGAUAUUCGGAAGAACACCAGUGGCGAAGGCGACUCACUGGACAACUGUUGACGCUGAGGUGCGAAAGCGUGGGGAGCAAACAGG